GUGUAGGCGGGGGAAUGUGUCGGAAGUGAAAUCGUACGGCUUAACCGUAGCAAUGGCUUCCGAAACUGUUCCUCUUGAAUGCGGGAGAGGCAGAUGGAAUUCCUGGUGUAGCGGUGGAAUGCGUAGAUAUUAGGAAGAACAUCGGUGGCGAAGGCGGUCUGCUGGCCCGUGAUUGACGCUGAGGCGCGACAGUGUGGGGAGCAAACAGGAUUAGAUACCCUGGUAGUCCACACCGUAAACGAUGGUCACUAGCUGUCGGGGGAUUCGACCCCUUCGGUAACGACGCUAACGCAUUAAGUGACCCACCCGGGGAGUACGCUCGCAAGGGUGAAACUCAAAGGAAUUGACGGGGGCCCGCACAAGCGGUGGAGCAUGUGGUUUAAUUCGACGCAACGCGAAGAACCUUACCUGGGCUUGAACCGCCGGUUGUAAGAACCUGAAAGGGCUAUGACGCGCCGCAAGGCGCGAGCCGGCAGAGGUGCUGCAUGGCUGUCGUCAGCUCGUGUCGUGAGAUGUUGGGUUAAGUCCCGCAACGAGCGCAACCCUUGUCUUUAGUUGCCAGCGAGUCAUGUCGGGCACUCUAAGGAGACCGCCUCGGAUAACGGGGAGGAAGGUGGGGAUGACGUCAAGUCAGCAUGGCCUUUAUGUCCAGGGCUACACACGUGCUACAAUGGGCGGUACAGAAGGACGCGAACCCGCGAGGGGGAGCUAAUCCUGAAAACCGUUCUCAGUUCGGAUCGAAGGCUGCAAUUC
This 753-nucleotide ribosomal RNA is filed under the name uncultured bacterium. RNAcentral describes it as "bacterial SSU rRNA". It matches the Rfam family "Bacterial small subunit ribosomal RNA", at positions 569 to 1313 of the family's 1533-position model. The record is from RNAcentral.